This 751-nucleotide ribosomal RNA is filed under the name Vermamoeba vermiformis. RNAcentral's name for it is "SSU rRNA". It matches the Rfam family "Eukaryotic small subunit ribosomal RNA", at positions 573 to 1325 of the family's 1831-position model. Lineage: Eukaryota; Tubulinea; Echinamoebida; Vermamoebidae. The record is from RNAcentral.
GCCGCGGUAAUUCCAGCUCCAAUAGCGUAUAUUAAAGUUGUUGCAGUUAAAAAGCUCGUAGUUGGAUUUCGGAAGGUCUUUAGUGGUCCGCCCCUUCGGGGAGCGGGUCACUGGCCUCCUAUGUUCCUAACGGUCCUCAUCCGCGAGGGUGGGGAAUCAACCGCUAGGAUCGUUUACUUUGAGGAAAUUAGAGUGUUCAAAGCAGGCGUAACUCGCCUCCGAAUACGUUAGCAUGGGAUAAUGGAAUACGACUUCGGUCUUGUUUCGUUGGUUUCGCUUGGCUGAAGUAAUGAUUGAUAGGGACAGUUGGGGGCAUUAGUAUUUAGUUGUCAGAGGUGAAAUUCUAGGAUUUACUAAAGACUGACCAAUGCGAAAGCAUUUGCCAAGGAUGUUUUCAUUAAUCAAGAACGAAAGUAGGGGGAUCGAAGACGAUCAGAUACCGUCGUAGUCUCUACCGUAAACUAUGCCGACCAGGGAUCCGGAGAGUUUGCAUGGAUGACUCCCCGGGCACCUUGUGAGAAAUCAUAAGUGUUUGGGUUUUGGGGGGAGUAUGGUCGCAAGGCUGAAACUUAAAGGAAUUGACGGAAGGGCACCACCAGGAGUGGAACCUGCGGCUUAAUUUGACUCAACACGGGGAAACUUACGAGGUCAGGACACUGUGAGGAUUGACAGAUUGAAAGCUCUUUCUUGAUUCAGUGGGUGGUGGUGCAUGGCCGUUCUUAGUUGGUGGAGUGAUUUGUCUGGUUAAUUC